This 1531-nucleotide ribosomal RNA is filed under the name uncultured Glomus. RNAcentral's name for it is "eukaryotic LSU rRNA". The stretch from base 690 to 1531 matches the Rfam family "Eukaryotic large subunit ribosomal RNA", at positions 1 to 694 of the family's 3401-position model. Lineage: Eukaryota; Fungi; Glomeromycota; Glomeromycetes; Glomerales; Glomeraceae. The record is from RNAcentral.
UUAUUGCUCUUGAACGAGGAAUCCCUAGUAAGCACAAGUCACCAGCUUGUGCUGAUUACGUCCCUGCCCUUUGUACACACCGCCCGUCGCUACUACCGAUUGAAUGGCUUAGUGAGGCCCUCAGAUCGACUUUCUGAGACUGGCAACAGUCUCUGAUUGUUGAGAAGUUGGUCAAACUUGGUCAUUUAGAGGAAGUAAAAGUCGUAACAAGGUUUCCGUAGGUGAACCUGCGGAAGGAUCGUUAAUGAUUUGGCGAUCCUAACGUUAGUUAGGUUUUGCGAUCACUUAUUUAAAACCCAACUCUUAAAUGUAUAAUUUAUGUAUUUCUUGAUAAGAAAAAUAAAGAUCACUUUCAACAACGGAUCUCUUGGCUCUCGCAUCGAUGAAGAACGUAGCGAAGUGCGAUAAGUAAUGUGAAUUGCAGAAUUCCGUGAAUCAUCGAAUCUUUGAACGCAAAUUGCACUUUCUGGUAUUCCGGAAAGUAUGCCUGUUUGAGGGUCAGUUAAAUAAAAAUCGGUGUUAUUGCUAUUAUGGCGAUGCAUCGGAAUUGAGUCGUCUUUACCUUUGGUUUAAGUGACUUAAAAUUAUGUACGAUUUUUGAACGUAUUUAAAUUAUUUACGUACGUCCAUAAUAUCACAUAUUAGGUGCGAUCAUCCACAUGAUUUCGCGCCUAUAAUUUUUCAUUAUUUGACCUCAAAUCAGGUAGGAGUACCCGCUGAACUUAAGCAUAUCAAUAAGCGGAGGAAAAGAAAAUAACAAUGAUUCCCCCAGUAACUGCGAGUGAAGAGGGAAAAGCUCAAAUUUUAAAUCCGUUAGGUUCUACCUGACCGAGUUGUAAUUUGAAGAGGCGUUUUCUGAGGUUCUGAUCAGUCCAAGUCCUUUGGGAUAAGGCAUCAUGGAGGGUGAGAAUCCCGUUCGGUUGAUCAGAUCUUCUUUACGAUACGUCAUCAAAGAGUCAAGUUGUUUGGGAAUGCAGCUUAAAAUGGGAGGUAAAUUUCUCCUAAGGCUAAAUAACGGCGAGAGACCGAUAGCGAACAAGUACCGUGAGGGGAAGAUGAAAAGAACUUUGAAAAGAGGGUUAAAUAGUACGUGAAAUUGUUGAAAGGGAAACGAUUGAAGCCAGUCGUACCUGCGGGUAAUCAGCCUUUUGGGUGUGAUUAUGUGGAGCGUGAGGAGCUAAUCGCCUUCAUCUUUGCAUAUUCGUGCACUUUGGGUGUACUUGCUCGUGUGUAGGUUAACAUCAAUUUUGAUCGUCAUAAAAUGACUGGGGGAAUGUAGCUUCGAUCUCGUAUUGAAGUGUUAUAGCCUUUGGUAGAUGUGAUGAUUAGGAUUGAGGAUUGCAACGGAUACCCUUCGGGGCUACCUGUCUGAUCUCUGAAAGUUGCUCUGGUGCUGAAAGCGUGCUUAUGGUAUCAAAGUUGACGUUCAACAGGUUAGAACGGGAUAAGUUCGUUAAGGAUGUUGACGUAAUGGCUUUAAACGACCCGUCUUGAAACACGGACCAAGGAGUCUAACAUAUGUGCGAGUGUU